AUAUGGUACUUUGCACCUCUUCAUAACUCUGAACUCUGCAGUGAGAGGUCUUGGUCCCACAAGGGGACACAGUUUUGCUGAGAGAUAUAUAAAAAAUCUCACUGAAAAACAUAAGCUGCAGCAGCUACCUGGAUACUUUCGGUUCCUUGUGUCUGUCUAGGGAGCAGCAGCCAAUAAAAGGAGUCAAGAUCAGUUGACCCUAAUCAAGAGGAGAUUGGAAUCCUGGUUACACAAUCUGGGCAGAAGUAAUAAAUGUGGUGCCCAAGUGAUAAACCUACCAAAUUGAGACUAAUGUGUAGGUGUGGCAACCCAUCCUCAAAAGGGCAUGAUGGCCUGGAACUCAGGCCUCUCAAGGAAUGUGGGUCUGAAUUAUACCAGAUAAACCACCAGGAGCAGCAGAGGUGGUAGCAGAGGCUGAGGGAAAUCUAGAAUUGAUAGUGGAGGAUGAGGGGAUGUGACAAGUAUUGAUGGCAUUCCCAAGCCCCACUGCAGCAGCAAGCACUGUAAUUUGUCCCACUAAUCUCCCAUCUUCUAAAUUUCUGAGAGGUCAAGAAAAGAGGUCUCUUGAUUCCUUUAGGAACUGCUCCCUAAGCAUACAGGGAGACAUAGAUCUAUGUGGAGCAAAGGGUGGAUUGUAAUAAGCAAAGAGAUACACUGCCUGAUUCACUUUAAGAAAGGACUGACCUCCCAGUUGCAAGGAAUGAGGUCAGCAGCCUCCAACUGUCAGCUCCUUCAGAGUCUGCUUCAACUGCAGAAGGACACUGUGCUUGAGGUCAUACCCUUCCCAUGUCUGGUGACUGAAGUCCAGCUGAAUGUAGCUGCCAAAGUUACCUUAAUGCCCAUGGGAAGCAAAAAAUCAAAGAGUUUAAACAGAAUUUUGAGAAAUCCCAAAUCAGUUUUUUUUCAGCAUAUGACAUUUUGGAGUAGUUUGUUAUUCAGCAAUAGAUAACAGAAAUUGGUAUCAGGAGUGGGGUGUUACCAUAACAAAAGGUUAAACCUUACAUGGUAAAAAGGACUUUGCCUCUGUCAUUAAGUUAAGCACUUUGAAAUGUAGAGAUUAUCCUGAAUUAUCUAGGUAGGCUCAAUAUAAGCAUGAGUCCUUAAAAGUGGAAGACGGAUACAUGAGAGGAUGUCAGAAUGAUGUGAAAUGAGAAGAACUCAACCUGCUAUUGUUGGCUUUACAGGUGAGUGAUAGGAACCACAAGCCCCAAGCAGCCUCUGGAAGCUGGAAAAAGCAAAGAAACAGAUUCUUUCCAGAGUGUCCAGAAAGGAAUGCAGUUCAGCUAACAUCUUGAUUUUAGAUCAGUGAGAUUUUUGUGUUGGACUUCUACAGAACUAUAUAAGAAUAAAUUGUGUUGCUUAAGCACACUAUAAUACAUGUGGCAAGAAGCUGCCAGCUAAGCCUUGAAGAAUAGUGAACAAACUCUUACUGGAGGAUGGGAAGGCAGUAAAUAAAUUAUUGAAUUAUUGAAAUAAAUGGAGGAUUGAGUUAUGCAUUGACAGAAUGCUUAGCAAUAAUUUUGCUUGUCUUAAUGUGGAACAGAAAAUGAAACUUAAUAGCUUGUAGAUGUCUUAAGGAGAUUUCCAGGUGAAUGUUGAAAGUACUGAUGAACUUAUUAUGGCUGCAUCUCAUAAUGUACAGGAAGACAUUUACUGAGUGAACUAAAGAAGGAACUGUUCAAUUUGAAAGCAGAAUUUAGAGGAAAUUUUUCAACCUAGUACUUGUCAUUUUUUUAUAGAAAAGGAAAAAUAGAUGGAAGAUGGAGCCAAAAUCCCAGAGGGAGGAGCCAAGAAGCAAGGAGAGCAAUGGAUUAGGAAACCACUACCAGAGGGAUGAACUGAACCACAAUCAAGGAAUAGCCUCUUCCUUUGGUGUAGGGGGACCCUGAAAACAAUUUAAUUUUAUGCUUCCUGUUUCCUUGUCUCCUUUUUUGAAUGAUAGUCUCUGUGUGGUGUUCCUAUCCUAGAAAACCUUAACUGGGACAAGCUACUCUCAAGCAUCUUCACUUGAGAAACAGUAACUGAGGAAGUUUAUUGUAUCUGGACAUGGUUUAGAUGAUAAGAUUCUGAACUUAAACUUAUGCCAUAAUGGAGUGAGACUCUUAGGGUACAGAGUAAGUACAUUUUUGCAUGUUAGUGAGACAAGAACUGUGGCCGGGGGCAGACUGUGAUAGUUUUUGAAGAUGUCCCUCAAACAAUUCCUUCCCUUCCUUGGACUCCUCUCUUCAGAGGGUAGAGUCCAUUUCCUUUUCCUUUUAAUCUGGAUUGGCCUUCUAACUCACUUUGACCAAUAAAAUGUGGUAAAAGU
Molecule: long non-coding RNA, 2308 nt
Filed under: Homo sapiens (human)
Lineage: Eukaryota; Metazoa; Chordata; Mammalia; Primates; Hominidae
Description: non-protein coding lnc-DTWD1-1:2
Source: RNAcentral